UACCAGCCCCCCGAGUGGUCGGGACGAUUAUUGGGCCUAAAGCAUCCGUAGCCGGUUCUACAAGUCUUCCGUUAAAUCCACCUGCUUAACAGAUGGGCUGCGGAGGAUACUAUUGAGCUAGGAGGCGGGAGAGGCAAGCGGUACUUAGUGGGUAGGGGUAAAAUCCGUUGAUCCAUUGAAGACCACCAGUGGCGAAGGCGGCUUGCCAGAACGCACUCGACGGUGAGGGAUGAAAGCUGGGGGAGCAAACCGG
RNAcentral lists this ribosomal RNA (253 nucleotides) under uncultured bacterium. RNAcentral's name for it is "partial 16S ribosomal RNA". It matches the Rfam family "Archaeal small subunit ribosomal RNA", at positions 474 to 727 of the family's 1478-position model. The record is from RNAcentral.